Molecule: ribosomal RNA, 449 nt
Filed under: uncultured bacterium
Lineage: Bacteria
Description: partial 16S ribosomal RNA
Rfam family: Bacterial small subunit ribosomal RNA
Source: RNAcentral
AACGAACGCUGGCGGCAUGCCUAAUACAUGCAAGUCGAACGAUCACUUCGGUGGUAGUGGCGCACGGGUGCGUAACGCGUGGGAAUCUGCCCUUGGGUUCGGAAUAACAUCGGGAAACUGACGCUAAUACCGGAUGAUGACGUAAGUCCAAAGAUUUAUCGCCCAGGGAUGAGCCCGCGUAGGAUUAGCUAGUUGGUGGGGUAAAGGCCUACCAAGGCGACGAUCCUUAGCUGGUCUGAGAGGAUGAUCAGCCACACUGGGACUGAGACACGGCCCAGACUCCUACGGGAGGCAGCAGUAGGGAAUAUUGGACAAUGGGGGCAACCCUGAUCCAGCAAUGCCGCGUGAGUGAUGAAGGCCUUAGGGUUGUAAAGCUCUUUUACCCGGGAUGAUAAUGACAGUACCGGGAGAAUAAGCCCCGGCUAACUCCGUGCCAGCAGCCGCUGUAA